UACGGGGGGGGCAAGCGUUGUUCGGAAUUACUGGGCGUAAAGGGUUCGUAGGUGGCCAACUAAGUCAGACGUGAAAUCCCUCAGCUCAACUGGGGAACUGCGUCUGAUACUGGUUGGCUUGAGUGCAGGAGAGGAAUGCGGAAUUCCAGGUGUAGCGGUGAAAUGCGUAGAUAUCUGGAGGAACACCGGUGGCGAAGGCGGCGUCCUGGACCAACACUGACACUGAGGAGCGAAAGCCAGGGGAGCAAACGGG
This 253-nucleotide ribosomal RNA is filed under the name uncultured bacterium. Its description in RNAcentral is "partial 16S ribosomal RNA". It matches the Rfam family "Bacterial small subunit ribosomal RNA", at positions 524 to 776 of the family's 1533-position model. The record is from RNAcentral.